GAUGUCAGUUUUGUCUCAUCUUUAGGGACCCCCUGGUGGUGGCGGCCCUCCAGGAACACCUAUUAUGCCCAGUCCCGCAGAUUCAACAAAUUCCAGUGACAACAUCUACACAAUGAUUAAUCCGGUGCCGCCUGGAGGCAGCCGGUCCAACUUCCCGAUGGGUCCCGGCUCGGACGGUCCGAUGGGCGGCAUGGGUGGCAUGGAGCCACACCACAUGAAUGGAUCAUUAGGGUCAGGGGACAUAGACGGACUUCCAAAAAAUUCUCCUAACAACAUAAGUGGCAUUAGCAAUCCUCCAGGCACCCCUCGAGAUGACGGCGAGCUAGGAGGGAACUUCCUCCACUCCUUUCAGAACGACAAU
RNAcentral lists this long non-coding RNA (361 nucleotides) under Pan troglodytes (chimpanzee). Its description in RNAcentral is "long non-coding RNA NONPTRT001044". The record is from RNAcentral. Lineage: Eukaryota; Metazoa; Chordata; Mammalia; Primates; Hominidae.